CCGCUUGACAAAAAAGGAAGAGGAGGCUAUAACUAGCCUCCUCCGGGAGACCUGAAAAAAGCAAAGCAGGGAAAGCGGGGAGGGGUUGACAGGGAUGAUCGGGAAGUGUAGGAUCAAACGGUUGACNCUUUCGGGGGAGAAAAAAAGCCCUGAAGAGAAAGACGCCCUGUGGAAACGCAGGGAGAGCGUCUCGGAUCAUUGACAACUAAAUAGGAGCAGCAACGUCCAAUUAAAGGGCCCUGAUCACGAAACACAGGAACAAAAUGAAUCUGGAGAGUUUGAUCCUGGCUCAGAACGAACGCUGGCGGCGUGCCUAACACAUGCAAGUCCAACGUGAAAGGGGAGCAAUCCCCCGGUAGGGUGGCAAACGGGUGAGUAAUACAUGGGUGAUCUACCUU
This 398-nucleotide ribosomal RNA is filed under the name uncultured bacterium. Its description in RNAcentral is "partial 16S ribosomal RNA". The stretch from base 267 to 398 matches the Rfam family "Bacterial small subunit ribosomal RNA", at positions 1 to 132 of the family's 1533-position model. The record is from RNAcentral.